Perca flavescens (yellow perch) is the source of this 391-nucleotide long non-coding RNA. RefSeq lists it as uncharacterized. The record is from RefSeq and is a predicted model, not a curated record. Lineage: Eukaryota; Metazoa; Chordata; Actinopteri; Perciformes; Percidae. The transcript is spliced from 2 exons.
CAUCUUCUUCCUCUUUCAGCUGGAGGUUUUGAUGGAAGGUGUCCCUUCCUCUUAUCUUUUCCCUGUGGUCGACGUUUUGAAGAUGUGAGGCAGAGCGACCCAGAUGCUCCGGUGGCUCACAACGGGCCAGUGCAGGCGGUGGAUGGAAGAGCUGGAGUCCAAGAAAACGUGAGACUGGAAGGGAUCAGGGACCUAAAUCCUCCAGGAGAUGUCAACGUGUGAAGCAGGGACAUCUGUAGUCUUUAUGUCCAGUCUUCGGCCAGUCUCUAAACUACUAUUUGAGCGAUUCCACCUUCGCAGACUAAUGUCCAAUAUAAUAAUGAAAUCCUGAGAGUCUUGAUGGAAUUGGGGCGCUCCCGUCGUCUUUUUCCCGUCUGGACGCUCAGACAAA